RNAcentral lists this ribosomal RNA (371 nucleotides) under uncultured bacterium. RNAcentral describes it as "bacterial SSU rRNA". It matches the Rfam family "Bacterial small subunit ribosomal RNA", at positions 524 to 898 of the family's 1533-position model. The record is from RNAcentral.
UACGUAGGGGGCGAGCGUUGUCCGGAAUUAUUGGGCGUAAAGGGUGCGUAGGCGGCCUUUUAAGUCAGGUGUGAAAGGUCACGGCUCAACCGUGGUAAGCACUUGAAACUGGAAGGCUUGAGUUAAGGAGAGGAAAGUGGAAUUCCUAGUGUAGCGGUGAAAUGCGUAGAUAUUAGGAGGAAUACCAGUGGCGAAGGCGACUUUCUGGACUUAAACUGACGCUGAGGCACGAAAGCGUGGGGAGCAAACAGGAUUAGAUACCCUGGUAGUCCACGCCGUAAACGAUGAGUGCUAGGUGUCGGGGGUUACCCCUCGGUGCCGCAGCUAACGCAUUAAGCACUCCGCCUGGGGAGUACGUGCGCAAGCAUGAA